UUGACGGCGCUGGCAGCUGUCUCUCUUGCAAGGGCAAGCCACACACAAUUGUAAUUGUUAAUUAAAUAUAUAUAAAUCAAAACUUGAACUUGUUGUUGCUGCUGCUGCUGUUGUUGUUGUUGCUGUGGUGCUUCCAUUACUUGUCCAGACAAUGUCACGCCUCAUUGCCAGCGCCCGAAGCGCAUUCAAACGCCAUCCCUUCGUAACCAACAGCGCCAUCUAUGGCAGUCUCUAUGUGGCUGCCGAGUUCUCACAGCAAUAUGUCUCCAAGCGCUGGCUGGCGCAGCCGGAGCAGCGUGAGGAUAUCGAUUAUGCAACUGUAGGACGCUAUGCUGUAAUGGGCACCACACUCUAUGCCCCAUCGCUAUACGCUUGCACCGGCAAGAGCUUUUGUGCAUAAAGCUCCAAGCAAGCACGCUACGCACCAUCAAACGAGGCAUAUGUGCACGUUAAUCCACCAGAUAUGUACAAAUGGCUAGAUGGCACAUUUCCAGGUACACUGAAAUCAACAAUUAUCAAAAAAUUGGUACUGGACCAGUUUGUGUUGA
Molecule: unclassified non-coding RNA, 548 nt
Filed under: Drosophila mojavensis
Lineage: Eukaryota; Metazoa; Arthropoda; Insecta; Diptera; Drosophilidae
Description: GI12229
Source: RNAcentral